AGGAAAGAAAUCGUUAAGGGCGUAUGGCGGAUGCCUAGGCUUUCAGAGGCGACGAAGGACGUGGUAAGCUGCGAAAAGCUGCGGGGAUUGGCACACACGAAUUGAUCCGCAGAUAUCCGAAUGGGGCAACCCGGCAUAUUGAAGAUAUGUCACCUCGCAAGAGGAGCAAACCCGGAGAACUGAAACAUCUAAGUACCCGGAGGAAAAGAAAUCGAAGAGAUUCCGUAAGUAGUGGCGAGCGAAAGCGGAUUAGCCCAAAAGUCUUUAUAUAUUUAAAAGAAUGUUCUGGAAAGAACAGCCAUAGAAGGUGAUAGCCCUGUAUUUGAAAGGUAUAUUAAGAUGAUAAAUGAGUAGGGCGGGACACGUGAAAUCCUGUCUGAAUAUGGGGGGACCAUCCUCCAAGGCUAAAUACUCCUGAAAGACCGAUAGUGAACAAGUACUGUGAAGGAAAGGUGAAAAGCACUUCGAAUAGAAGGGUGAAAUAGAACCUGAAACCGUACGCCUACAAGCGGUCGGAGCAGCGUAAUGCUGUGACGGCGUGCCUUUUGCAUAAUGAGCCUACGAGUUAAUUUUACUAGCGAGGUUAAGGUAUUAAGUACCGGAGCCGGAGCGAAAGCGAGUCUGAAUAGGGCGCAUAGUUAGUAGGAUUAGACGCGAAACCUUGUGAUCUACCCAUGGGCAGGUUGAAGCUCUGGUAACACAGAGUGGAGGACCGAACCGGUUGACGUUGAAAAGUCUUCGGAUGACCUGUGGGUAGGGGUGAAAGGCCAAUCAAACUGGGAGAUAGCUCGUACUCUCCGAAAUGCAUUUAGGUGCAGCGUCGUAUAUAAGUUUAUUAGAGGUAGAGCUACUGAUUGGAUGCGGGGGUUUCAUCGCCUACCAAUUCCUGACAAACUCCGAAUGCUAAUAAAUGUUCUACGGCAGUGAGGGCAUGGGUGCUAAGGUCCAUGUCCGAGAGGGAAAGAACCCAGACCAACAGCUAAGGUCCCAAAAUAUAUGUUAAGUUGAAACAACGCGGUUGGACUGCAUUGACAGCUAGGAUGUUGGCUUGGAAGCAGCCAUUCAUUUAAAGAGUGCGUAACAGCUCACUAGUCGAGCGGUCCGGCAUGGAUAAUAAUCGGGCAUAAACAUAUUACCGAAGCUAUGGAUUUAUAUUUUAGAUAUAUCUGGUAGGAGAGCAUUCUAUUUGCGCCGAAGCAGUACUGUGAGGUAUUGUGGAGCGGAUAGAAAAGAAAAUGUAGGCAUAAGUAACGAUAAAGCAGGCGAGAAACCUGCUCACCGAAAGACCAAGGCUUCCUCAGCCAUGCUAAUCAGCUGAGGGUUAGUCGGGACCUAACGCGAACCCGAAAGGGGUAGUGGAUGGACAAUGGGUUAAUAUUCCCAUACUUGCUCACAAUAAAAGGGGACGGUUGGAUGUAGCUGCUGGAGACUGACGGAAUAGUCAAGGCCUAGCCUUCGGGCGAAGCUGCUGUAGUGUAAUCUGAUCCAAGAAAAGCCGAAGUGAAGCAACCCGUACCAAAACCGACACAGGUGGUCGAGGAGAGAAUCCUAAGGUGCUCGAGUGAGUCGUGGCUAAGGAACUAGGCAAAAUAGUCUCGUAACUUCGGAAGAAGAGACGCCAACAGCAAUGUUGGCCGCAGUGAAGAGGCCCAGGCGACUGUUUAUCAAAAACACAGGACUCUGCUAAAUCGAAAGAUGCUGUAUAGGGUCUGACACCUGCCCGGUGCUGGAAGGUUAAGGAAGGUGCUUAGGGUUAAACCGAAGGCAUUAACUGAAGCCCCAGUAAACGGCGGCCGUAACUAUAACGGUCCUAAGGUAGCGAAAUUCCUUGUCGGGUAAGUUCCGACCUGCACGAAUGGUGUAACGAUCUGGGCACUGUCUCAGCCACGAGCUCGGUGAAAUUGUAGUAUCGGUGAAGAUGCCGAUUACCCGCAAUGGGACGAAAAGACCCUGUGAACCUUUACUAUAACUUCGUAUUGACUUUGAGUAAGUAAUGUGUAGGAUAGGUGGGAGGCUUUGAAGCAGGCACGCUAGUGUUUGUGGAGCCAACGUUGAAAUACCACCCUUUACUUACUUGGAGCCUAACUUCUUUCAGAAGGACAUUGCGUGGUGGGUAGUUUGACUGGGGUGGUCGCCUCCAAAAGAGUAACGGAGGCUUUCAAAGGUACCCUCAGCACGCUUGGUAACC
RNAcentral lists this ribosomal RNA (2188 nucleotides) under Chryseobacterium aquifrigidense. Its description in RNAcentral is "partial 23S ribosomal RNA". It matches the Rfam family "Bacterial large subunit ribosomal RNA", at positions 1 to 2339 of the family's 2925-position model. The record is from RNAcentral. Lineage: Bacteria; Pseudomonadati; Bacteroidota; Flavobacteriia; Flavobacteriales; Weeksellaceae.